UGUGGAUUUGUUCUUCAUUGCUCCAGAUUUCAAGACAUGGAAUAAUGGAUUAAAAUGGUAAGGUAUUCUGAUCAAAUAUUAGCUAGCUUCUUGAUGGAAAGAACAAUUCUAUUGGAAUAAAUUGAAUUCUUGCAGACAAAGCAACCCACAGAAUUAAUGAUAGGAACAGGAAUGAAUCUACUGUCAUCCAAAGAUGCUUAUAUUAUGGUGCCAACAGAGGAGGAGCUGGUGUGAUGGACUAUAGUGAAGGACCAGAUUUCCAAGAAGGAGGGAAAGAAGAACGAGUUUCAGAAGUGCAGGAAUCUGUGAGGGCUGACCUCCUAUGGAUGCAAGUGGCAAACUGUGCCUAUUUGUAAAGCAAUUAACAAAGGUUGUAUUCCUCAGAUUACCUUGGAGGACUACCUCAAAGAACUAACAAAGGAUUAAUAAAUACUGAUGAUACUCUGCAGAGAGUUGUACCACCCUUCUGAAUUAUAGAAGGAACUGUGUGAAGGGUCCCCGUCUUCUUUGAUCAGUUGGUAUAUUAAGAAUGGUUGACAGAAACAAAAAUACUAGGGUUGAUCUCCAUUUCCGAACAUCCAAAAUUCAGGUCUUCCUUGAAUCUGUGCUCCUCUGGCCCACAUCUUGACAGAUGGAAGAAAAGCACAUCCUGUUC
This is a long non-coding RNA of Crotalus tigris (Tiger rattlesnake), 655 nucleotides long. RefSeq lists it as uncharacterized. NCBI's taxonomy places the organism in Eukaryota, Metazoa, Chordata, Lepidosauria, Squamata, Viperidae. The record is from RefSeq and is a predicted model, not a curated record. The transcript has 5 exons.